This is a long non-coding RNA of Dromaius novaehollandiae (emu), 2318 nucleotides long. RefSeq lists it as uncharacterized. The transcript has 2 exons. NCBI's taxonomy places the organism in Eukaryota, Metazoa, Chordata, Aves, Casuariiformes, Dromaiidae. The record is from RefSeq and is a predicted model, not a curated record.
CCCGGGCCGCCGCGGCGCCUGCGCGCGUCGCCCCAGGGGCGCCGCGGGGGCAGCGCCGCGGAAGGCGCCCAGUGCGCAGGCGCGGGCCGGCUGCCCGGCGCGGGGGCGGUGCGCGUGCGCCGAGUGACCGUUAAACGGCCGCGGCCGCUCGUUGCUUCCCUGUCAGGGGUUUCCUGAGGCAGCGCGAGCGCCGGCGGCUUCUCGGUGUCCGCCGGCGGGCUCAGCUCCGCGCUGCUGGGGGCGUCCGGCUCGCUGAGGGACCGUUUUCUCCUCGUGGUUGUGUGUCCUGUUAAUCGCUCGGCUUCCCACACGGCGCCGGGGCCUCUCUGCCCGCCCACGCCGAGCCGGGCAGUGCCGCUGGCCGGCUCCCAAGGCCUCGUCUCUGCUCGUCGCUCCCCGCCGUCUCGGGAGAGGAGAUGGAAAAUAGCCCAAAGCGGUGUGGGGUGGCGGCGCUCCCUCCAGGCCCCUGGGCCUCCCUAUUCCCUGAGACCCAACAGUAUUGAAAUUAGACCAAUUAAUAACCCCACAAUGGUCUGUGAAAGGAGGAGUUGCAUAUCUCUUACCUUAAAUCAAAAGCUAGAAAUGAUUAAGCUUAGUGAGGAAGGCAUGUCAAAAGCUGAGAUAGGCCGAAAGCUAGGCCUCUUGUGCCAAACAGUUAGCCAAGUUGUGAAUGCAAAGGAAAAGUUCUUGAAGGAAAUUAAAAGUGCUACUCCAGUGAACACAUGAAUGAUAAGAAAGCGAAACAGCCUUAUUGCUGAUAUGGAGAAAGUUUUAGUGGUCUGGAUAGAAGAUCAAAGCAGCCACAACAUUCCCUUAAGCCAAAGCCUAAUCCAGAGCAAGGCCCUAGCUCUCUUCAAUUCUAUGAAGGCUGAGAGAGGUGAGGAAGCUGCAGAAGAGAAGUUUGAAGCCAGCAGAGGUUGGUUCAUGCGGUUUAAGGAAAGAAGCCAUCUCCAUGACAUAAAAGUGCAAGGUGAAGCCGCAAGUGCUGAUGUAGAAGCUGCAGCAAGUUAUCCAGAAGAUCUAGCUAAGGUAAUUGAUGAAGGUGGCUACACUAAGCAACAGAUUUUCAAUGUAGAUGAAACAGCCUUAUAUUGGAAGAAGAUGCCAUCUAGGACUUUCAUAGCUAGAGAGGAGAAGUCAAUGCCUGGCUUCAGAGCUUCAAAGGACAGGCUGACUCUCUUGUUAGGGGCUAAUGCAGCUGGUGACUUUAAGUUGAAGCCAGUGCUCAUUUACCAUUCCGAAAAUCCUAGGGCCCUUAGGAAUUAUGCUAAAUCUACUUUGCCUGUGCUAUAUAAAUGGAACAACAAAGCCCAGAUGACAGCACAUCUGUUUACAGCAUGGUUUACUGAAUAUUUUAAGCCCACUGUUGAGACCUACUGCUCAGAAAAAAAGAUUCCCUUCAAAAUAUUACUGCUCACUGACAAUGCAGCUGAUCACCCAGGAGCUCUGAUGGAGAUGUACAAUGAGAUUAAUGUUGUUUUCAUGCCUGCUAGCACAACAUCCAUUCUUGCAGCCCAUGAAUCAAGGAGUAAUUUCCACUUUCAAGUCUUAUUAUUUAAGAAAUACGUUUUGUAAGGCUGUAGCUGCCAUAGAUAGUGAUUCCUCUGAUGGAUCUGGGCAAAGUAAAUUGAAAGCCUUCUGGAAAGGAUUCACCAUUCUAGAUGCCAUUAAGAACAUUUGUGAUUCAUGGGAGGAGGUCAAAAUAUCAACACUAAUGGGAGUUUGGAAGAAGUUGAUUCCAGCCCUUGUGGAUGACUUUGAGGGGUUGGAGACUUCAGUGGCGGAAGUAACUGCAGAUGUGGUGGAAGUAGCAAGACGACUAGAAUUAGAAGUGGAGCCUGAAGAUGUGACUGAAUUGCUGCAAUCUCAUGAUAAAACUUUAACAGAUGAGGAGUUGCUUCUUACGGAUGAGCAAAGAAAGUGGUCUCUUGAGAUGGAAUCUACUGGUGAAGAUGCUGUGAACCCUGUUGAAAUGACAACGAAGGAUUUAGAGUAUUACAUAAACUUAGUUGAUAAAGCAGCGGCAGGGUUUGAGAGGAUUGACUCCAAUUUUGAAAGAAGUUCUGUUGUUGGUAAAAUGCUAUCAAACAGCAUCGCAUGCUACAGAGAAAUCCUUCGUGGAAAGGAAGAGUCAGUCGAUGCAGCAAACUUCAUUUUAAGAAAUUGCCACAGCCACCUCAGCCUUCAGCAACCACCACCCUGAUCAGUCAGCAGCCAUCCACAUCAAGGCCAGACCCUCCAUCAGCAAAAAGAUUACGACUCCCUGAAGGCUGUGAUGAUGGUUAGCAUUUUUUAGCAAUAAAGUAUUUUUUAAUUAA